This 496-nucleotide ribosomal RNA is filed under the name uncultured bacterium. Its description in RNAcentral is "partial 16S ribosomal RNA". It matches the Rfam family "Bacterial small subunit ribosomal RNA", at positions 29 to 507 of the family's 1533-position model. The record is from RNAcentral.
AUGAACGCUGGCGGCGUGCCUAAUACAUGCAAGUCGAGCGAACGGACGAGAAGCUUGCUUCUCUGAUGUUAGCGGCGGACGGGUGAGUAACACGUGGAUAACCUACCUAUAAGACUGGGAUAACUUCGGGAAACCGGAGCUAAUACCGGAUGAUAUUUUGAACCGCAUGGUUCAAAAGUGAAAGACGGUCUUGCUGUCACUUAUAGAUGGAUCCGCGCUGCAUUAGCUAGUUGGUAAGGUAACGGCUUACCAAGGCAACGAUGCAUAGCCGACCUGAGAGGGUGAUCGGCCACACUGGAACUGAGACACGGUCCAGACUCCUACGGGAGGCAGCAGUAGGGAAUCUUCCGCAAUGGGCGGAAGCCUGACGGAGCAACGCCGCGUGAGUGAUGAAGGUCUUCGGAUCGUAAAACUCUGUUAUUAGGGAAGAACAUAUGUGUAAGUAACUGUGCACAUCUUGACGGUACCUAAUCAGAAAGCCACGGCUAACUACGUG